Molecule: transfer RNA, 66 nt
Filed under: Batracomorphus extentus
Lineage: Eukaryota; Metazoa; Arthropoda; Insecta; Hemiptera; Cicadellidae
Description: tRNA-Leu
Source: RNAcentral
UUUAAUAUGGCAGAAAAGUGCCAUGAACUUAAAAUUCAUAUAUAAAUAUAAAAUAUUUUAUUAAAA